AUUGAACGCUGGCGGCAGGCCUAACACAUGCAAGUCGAACGGUAACAGGAAGAAGCUUGCUUCUUUGCUGACGAGUGGCGGACGGGUGAGUAAUGUCUGGGAAACUGCCUGAUGGAGGGGGAUAACUACUGGAAACGGUGCCUAAUACCGCAUAACUUCGCAAGACCAAAGAGGGGGACUUUCGGGCCUCUUGCCUUCGGCUGUGCCCAGAUGGGAUUAGCUAGUAGGUGGGGUAACGGCUCACCUAGGCGACGAUCCCUAGCUGGUCUGAGAGGAUGACCAGCCACACUGGAACUGAGACACGGUCCAGACUCCUACGGGAGGCAGCAGUGGGGAAUAUUGCACAAUGGGCGCAAGCCUGAUGCAGCCAUGCCGCGUGUAUGAAGAAGGCCUUCGGGUUGUAAAGUACUUUCAGCGGGGAGGAGGGGAGUAAAGUUAAUACCUUUACUCAUUGACGUUACCCGCAGAAGAAGCACCGGCUAACUCCGUG
This 490-nucleotide ribosomal RNA is filed under the name uncultured bacterium. RNAcentral's name for it is "partial 16S ribosomal RNA". It matches the Rfam family "Bacterial small subunit ribosomal RNA", at positions 30 to 507 of the family's 1533-position model. The record is from RNAcentral.